Long non-coding RNA from Cyprinus carpio (common carp), 2351 nucleotides. Lineage: Eukaryota; Metazoa; Chordata; Actinopteri; Cypriniformes; Cyprinidae. The record is from Ensembl.
CGGAAAUGCUAUUUUUGCAUGGUAAGUUGUUUCAGUUGGUUUUAAAUGUUAUUGUAAAUUUAGAUUAAAUUUCAGUAGAAGUUUAUUGAUGAAUGACACCAGUAAUUGUAGAAAGUGAAUCACCCUCCUCAGCAGCUGAAGGAGUCAGCUGAAUUUCAAAGGUCAUCCCAGGACACUGGGAAAUGCUUCAUUCCUUGACCACAGUAUGUCCUAAUGGGGCUGUCAGAGUAAUGUCAGUCAAUCACUGAUCAUGUUCUGAAGAUCACAUUGCUGUUGUGGGGAAAUAGGAAAGUUCUGAGUCUUUUGUUUGCAGAGAAGCAGGAAUAAAUAACCAUCUGGAUAUGGAAAACAAGAAUCUGAGCUGCUCAUUCAUCCAGGGGAUCUGGGAAGCAUGUUGAGCUUUAGUGUUCCACAGAUGUGUUAUGCUUCCUGCACAUAUUGUGUAGGCAAAUGUAUGGCACAGUCAUCGUGACUUCUGCUGUCCUCUAAACAUAUGCCUGUCUAGAGUAUUUCUGAAAGAAAGGAAAUAUGUGCAGCUCUUAUCACCAUGGUGAUGACAGGCUGAGUAAACAGUGGGUCUGCUGACAGGCUACCACAGUGACUAAUGACGGCAAUGAGGUCAUUUGUUCCAAAGCAAUGAGAGGAACUAAAAUCUGGUCUGUAUGUGUAGCCUUACCCAUAGAUGGAGUGAAAAUUACCUCUUCCCACAAUCUUUAUCUACACCAUGCGACGUCUGUGGAAGGCGAGUGGGGAUGUAAAACCUGCCAUACUGGAGGAAGAGCAGUCCGCUGUGUUUCAGUGUGAAGAAUAAUCCCCACACCUGCAGUUACUGACUGCUCCUGAUUUCCAUUGGCAACAAUGCUGUGUUUUGCAUAGAGAACAGAAGAGAAAGCAUGGGAGGCAGUAAACCAUGAAAUUGGCCUAGUGGUGAAAGAAGCAGCUUUCUACAAAGAGGAGGGGAGGAGGAUGGGGGAAAAAAGAGAAGAAAAAAAAACACCUCACCCAUAUGCACACAAACACACACUGGCACAAAAGACAAAUUUCAUAUUGCACAAUGUAUCCACCUUUAAUUUGUCCGGCACAUAUGUUUACUGAAAAUGUGUUAAAAAUUCAUUUUGAACUUAAAAUGCAUCUUCUGGACAGAAACAUCAGACAUUCAUGAAAAAUGUUAUAAAUAUGUUGUACUUAUAGAUGGCAGAAGGAAUGUCGAAAAAAUAUUUGAUUUUAAUACUGCGGUAAAUUUACUUUGUAUGCUAAGAGGCCCUUAAAGGUAUACUCCACCCCAAAAUGAAAAUUUUGUCAUUAAUCACUUACCCCCAUGUCCUUCCAAAGCCAUAAAAGCUCAGUUCGUCUUCGGAACACAAUUUAACAUAUUUUGGUUGAAAACCGGGACGCCUCUGACUGUCCCAUAGACUGCCAAGUAAAUAACAGUGUCAAGGUCCAUAAUAGGUUUGAAAGCCAUCAUCAGAAUACUCCAUCUGCCAUCAGACGUGCAAUCUGGGUUAUUUGAAUCGACGGGAACACUUUUUGUAAGUGAAGAAAACAAAAAUAACGACUUUAUUCAACAAUUCCUUUGUCAACAGUCUCCUCUGUGUCUCUCCAUAUCACCAUAUGCUGUGUAUGCUCUUCUGUAUCAUCCGCGCCACAAAGAUGCGCGUCCUUGUGGUAUUUUUGUUUUAUUAGCUUACAAAAGAUUACAGAUUUCUUACAGAUUGCAGGUCUGAUGGCAGAUGGAGUAUUCUGACUACAACUUUCAUACCUUUCAUGGACCUUGACACUGUUAUUUACUUGGCAGUCUAUGGGACAGUCGCAGUCCUCCCGGUUUUCAACCAAAAUAUCUUAAAUUGUGUUCCGAAGACGAACGGAGCUUUUACGGGUUUGGAAGGACAUGGGGUAAGUGAUCAAUGACAACAUUUUCAUUUUGGGGUGGAGUAUCCCUUUAAUGUGAGGCAUCUCCCUUUCACUGUUGCUAAUUUCCAAUGUCAUAACAGUAAUAUAGGUAAGGAUAGUUUAAUAUCUGUCAUUAUGGAAUGAGGAGACCAAUGGAAAGAAAGGGAAUGCUGUUCAGGACUUUUUUGGGAAGAAAAUUUGUGUGGAGCAUGUAGCUCAGGUAGGGAGUACAAUAAUAGUGUUUACACCCAAAGAUACUGACAGCAUCAUGGACUUGUGCGCCAUCUAGUGUCUAUUGUCCAUCAUAAUCAGAAAGAGCUUUAUUGCCAAGUGUUAACACACACAAGGAAUUCGUCCUGGUGUCAGGGGCUUCCUUCCAGUACUGAAAGUACAGAAAUAGCGCUCACAUACAUAUAAUUUAAGGUAAUAAAUUGAAAUAAAAAAAAAAGAAAAGGAUCCUU